Molecule: ribosomal RNA, 301 nt
Filed under: uncultured bacterium
Lineage: Bacteria
Description: partial 16S ribosomal RNA
Rfam family: Bacterial small subunit ribosomal RNA
Source: RNAcentral
CAGUAGCCACGGGAAUACGGAGGGUGCAAGCGUUAAUCGGAAUUACUGGGCGUAAAGCGCACGCAGGCGGUCUGACAAGUCAGAUGUGAAAUCCCCGGGCUUAACCCGGGAACUGCAUUUGUGACUGGCGAGCUAGAGUAUGGCAGAGGGGGGUGGAAUUCCACGUGUAGCAGUGAAAUGCGUAGAGAUGUGGAGGAACACCGAUGGCGAAGGCAGCCCCCUGGGCCAAUACUGACGCUCAUGCACGAAAGCGUGGGGAGCAAACAGGAUUAGAUACCCCAGUAGUCCCUGUCUCUUAUAA